AUGGACGAAGCCAUCCCUUUUUCCCGUGCAUAUGCAUCGGACUCGGAUGACGAUGGUCCCGAUGAACAAGUUGAUGAGGAUGGGUUCACGGUGAAGGAGGCCGAAGCUUUCGAGAAGGUAUUUCGUCGGGAUCAUCGGACUACAUUGUUCAAGGAUGUUAGUCUCGCGGAUGAAGCCGUGGUAGAUGGUGGCCAAUGUGCACCUCUUGGUGUUAGGCCAAGCUCUCAC
This 228-nucleotide ribosomal RNA is filed under the name Triticum aestivum (bread wheat). RNAcentral describes it as "partial small subunit ribosomal RNA". Lineage: Eukaryota; Viridiplantae; Streptophyta; Magnoliopsida; Poales; Poaceae. The record is from RNAcentral.